GUGGGGAAUUUUGGACAAUGGGCGAAAGCCUGAUCCAGCAAUGCCGCGUGCAGGAUGAAGGCCCUCGGGUUGUAAACUGCUUUUGUACGGAACGAAAAGCCUGGGGCUAAUAUCCCCGGGUCAUGACGGUACCGUAAGAAUAAGCACUGGCUAACUACGUGCCAGCAGCCGCGGUAAUACGUAGGGUGCAAGCGUUAAUCGGAAUUACUGGGCGUAAAGCGUGCGCAGGCGGUUUUGUAAGACAGUGGUGAAAUCCCCGGGCUCAACCUGGGAACUGCCAUGGUGACUGCAAGGCUAGAGUGCGGCAGAGGGGGAUGGAAUUCCGCGUGUAGCAGUGAAAUGCGUAGAUAUGCGGAGGAACACCGAUGGCGAAGGCAAUCCCCUGGGCCUACACUGACGCUCAUGCACGAAAGCGUGGGGAGCAAACAGGAUUAGAUACCCCAGUAGUCC
RNAcentral lists this ribosomal RNA (450 nucleotides) under uncultured bacterium. RNAcentral's name for it is "partial 16S ribosomal RNA". It matches the Rfam family "Bacterial small subunit ribosomal RNA", at positions 354 to 796 of the family's 1533-position model. The record is from RNAcentral.